UGGGGAAUAUUGGACAAUGGAGGAAACUCUGAUCCAGCAAUUCUGUGUGUGUGAAGAAGGUUUUAGGACUGUAAAACACUUUUAGUAGGGAAGAAAAAAUUACGGUACCUACAGAAGAAGCAACGGCUAAAAACCUGCCAGCAGCCGCGGUAAUACGUAUGUUGCGAGCCUUAUCCGGAAUUAAUGGGCUUAAAGGGCAUCUAGGCGGUAAGACAAGUUGAAGGUGAAAACCUGUGGCUCAACCAUAGGCUUGCCUACAAAACGGUUGAACUAGAGUACUGGAAAGGUGGGUGGAACUACACGAGUAGAGGUGAAAUUCGUAGAUAUGUGUAGGAAGGCCGAGGAUGAAGAUAACUCACUGGACAGAAACUGACGCUGAAGUGCGAAAGCGAGGGGAGCAAACAGG
Molecule: ribosomal RNA, 406 nt
Filed under: Verrucomicrobiota bacterium
Lineage: Bacteria; Pseudomonadati; Verrucomicrobiota
Description: Verrucomicrobia bacterium partial 16S ribosomal RNA
Rfam family: Bacterial small subunit ribosomal RNA
Source: RNAcentral